Non-coding RNA from Lolium perenne, 559 nucleotides. The record is from RefSeq and is a predicted model, not a curated record. NCBI's taxonomy places the organism in Eukaryota, Viridiplantae, Streptophyta, Magnoliopsida, Poales, Poaceae.
CGAGCGAGAGCACUGGAGUUCGUGUGCUAAAAGCACUUUUCGCUAGCAAGUAGCUCUACUGUUAUUGGAAAGUGCCUUUCCUCAUGAGUUCCAGUACCCUCUCUUGUCAGCCCAUUUGUACUGUUUACCCUUGGCACCGUGUGAAUCACACGUGGGAGAUAGAAAGAGGAAAGCGUGACACGCGGACGAUGAGGAGGUUCUCCAACUUGCAGAUAUCAGAACGUCGGUUACUUCGCUGGCUCGCUCUCCUGCCUUCUCAUAGCCAAUAUCGGACCCUCCAAUCCGCCAUUGUUGCUUGUUUGUUGCUUCUUCGGGCAGGCAGAACCGCAGAAGCCAAUGGGGCAGAGUGGAGACGGGCUUCCAAUUCCUAGACGGCGGAAGUCCAUCAGGUCAACGGGCUGCUCAAGCAACAAAAUGCAUGGAAUCACACAAGAGCACGUGAAACUACAAAAAGCUUCUAAGCGUAUCCAGGAUGAAAAGGGGAGAACUGCAGCUAAGUGCCUGCCCCGCGAGACAGGUGUGGACUCAUGGAAGAGGAGGCACAUAUGGUCAGAAGAGG